CGCCUCCUGCUAAAUUAAUAUAAGAGGUACUGCCUGCCCGGUGACACCUGUUUAACGGCCGCGGUAUAAUGACCGUGCAAAGGUAGCAUAAUCACUUGUCUCUUAAAUAGAGACCUGUAUGAAUGGCAAAACGAAAGCCCAACUGUCUCAUCAAAUUAAUCAGUGAAAUUGAUAUCCCCGUGCAAAAGCGGAGAUAAUUUUAUAAGACGAGAAGACCCUACGGAGCUUAAAACCUAAAUUAAUAUAAUUAAAUAAAUAAUCCAGGGCUUUAGGUUGGGGCGACCACGGGGAAUAAUAGAACCCCCGAGAUAUAUAGUUAAGAAAAACACUUCAAAAUAACACCACAGUUGAUGUAAUUGACCCAAUAAUUGAUCAACGAACCAAGUUACCCUAGGGAUAACAGCGCAAUCCUCUCAUAGAGUCCAUAUCGACGAGCGGGUUUACGACCUCGAUGUUGGAUCAAGACUACCAAAUGGCGCAGCAGCUAUUAAAGGUUCGUUUGUUCAACGAUUAAAGUCCU
RNAcentral lists this ribosomal RNA (520 nucleotides) under Plethodon yonahlossee (Yonahlossee salamander). RNAcentral describes it as "partial 16S ribosomal RNA". It matches the Rfam family "Bacterial large subunit ribosomal RNA", at positions 1816 to 2597 of the family's 2925-position model. Lineage: Eukaryota; Metazoa; Chordata; Amphibia; Caudata; Plethodontidae. The record is from RNAcentral.